AUACGGAGGAUGCAAGCGUUAUCCGGAUUCAUUGGGUUUAAAGGGUGCGCAGGCGGGUUUGUAAGUCAGUGGUGAAAUACUGCCGCUCAACGGUAGGGUUGCCAUUGAUACUGCAAAUCUUGAGUUUGGAUGAGGUAGGCGGAAUGUGCAGUGUAGCGGUGAAAUGCAUAGAGAUUGCACAGAACACCGAUUGCGAAGGCAGCUUACUAAUCCACGACUGACGCUGAGGCACGAAAGCGUGGGGAGCGAACAGGAUUAGAUACCCUGGUAGUCCACGCCGUAAACGAUGUUCACUCGCUGUUUGCGAUAUACCGUAAGCGGCUUAGCGAAAGCAUUAAGUGAACCACCUGGGGAGUACGAUCGCAAGGUUGAA
Molecule: ribosomal RNA, 373 nt
Filed under: uncultured bacterium
Lineage: Bacteria
Description: bacterial SSU rRNA
Rfam family: Bacterial small subunit ribosomal RNA
Source: RNAcentral